UUUCUUUCUUUCCUUGAUAUUACGCCGUAAUGCUCUCCCUCUGAAAGCUCCUCCCCUGCUCCAAUGGCGACGAAACGAAGGAGCUUCAACGACGCCACACCGGUAAGUUUCCUUUACUCCCUUUCUCGUUUUUGUUUAUUUGUUGUUUUAAGAAACAAAAGAAAAAAAAACAAAAUAAAAUAAAAACAGUAAAAAGAACAGAAGAAACAAAGCCAAAAUCUGUCACCUUCAAAAAUGUUUUUUUCGUCUAUUUUCUUUUCGAUUUCGGUACAAAAAUUUGCUCCCCAUUACAGAGAUUGAUUGGCCUUUUUAUAGCCGAAACAACGGAGAAAGAAACUAUCGAAAAAAACUCUCCUCUUUUUGUCGUAAUUUCUGCUAUUAUUUCUAUUCGUGCUUCAUGCCUUGUUGCAGGUACGGGCAUCGUGCGAAGCUACCAGACGUGGGUGAGACGACGUGGGCAGUUGCUAUGCGUUCGUGCGUGAAGACGAUUGCUGCAACGUGGGGGCGAGGGUGACGCCGAUCCGCUGCUUAUUGCCAAAGGUUUCUGCUGUUCAUUUUUUUUUUGUGUUUUAGGCUAGUGGGUUAGGUAUUUGGGUUGUUUGGGUAUUGGGCUUGUAAUUUGGUUAUUGGGUCAGGGUGCUAUUGGGUUUAAAACUGGGUUUAGUAAUAGGCUAUUAUAUAUUUUUUAGCCAGGCCAAAAUUGACCUAUUACAUUAUUUUAACAAAAUAGUCUGAUAUUACAAUUUUAUUUCUCCAUUAUAAAUCAUUUCUCAGUUUUAAAAAUUUCGGUCACUAAAAUUAUUUGGUUUAUGUCCGAGGUAUUUUUGAGUCGUUGGUGAUGCGAUAUCGCUUCGAGCCGCACACAUUUCAUAUAUCACGUCGAGAUGGGAUCAUUUCAUACAAAAUUACCGUCGUAGUAUAUAAUGGAUUUCACUCGUCGACUCAUUUCAGUAUCGAUCACGCAUUGGAUGAAUAAAUGCAAAAAAAUAAGUGGAAAGUUAUCCAAAGGAGUACACACAACUCUCACAACACAAUGUUCUUUUGUUUGAUAUUAACUUGAUACGUGUCUAUGUUAUGAAAAUUACGCCUCUUUUAUAAGAGAAUUAUGUAGGGAGAAAGAGAAUACAUGUUUUGAAUUUCGUUUGCGAAUGCAUACAUUCGUUGCAUAUUGUAUUGUGCAAAUAAUUUUUAGAAAGCGUUCAAAAGUCAUAAUUACAUCACACCUGUGCUCCUGAGAGAUUUUGUGCUACAUAACAUGCUUUACAGGUAUUUGAAAAAGUACUUUCACUCUUAAAAGAAAGGAGAUUUGUUAGAGAAAGCUCAUCCAUUUGGGUGAGCUUUCUCUAACAAAUGUUCUAUUCCCCGGGGUGAAAAGCCUAAUGUUUCAAAUAAUUCGAACGCUUUAAACACGUUUAGAAUAUGUUCAUCACUCCUGUAGCAUGCUUUCAAGGUUUUUCUUUGCAAACAGACUCUUCCUUACGGCUAUGAAAGGGCUCAUACACACCAAGCUUUAUCAUCCUUGAAUCAUAUAAUUUCUCCCCAAUCAUCUCCAUUUCUCCACUAUAAACCAUUUCUCAGUUUUAAAAAUUUCGGUCACUAAAAUUAUUUGGUUUAUGUCUGAGGUAUUCUUGAGUCGUUGGUGAUGCGAUAUCGCUUCGAGCCGCACACAUUUCAUAUAUCAAGUCGAGAUGGGAUCAUUGUCUUCGAAGCCUAUCCUAGGGAAGU
Molecule: long non-coding RNA, 1725 nt
Filed under: Gossypium barbadense (sea-island cotton)
Lineage: Eukaryota; Viridiplantae; Streptophyta; Magnoliopsida; Malvales; Malvaceae
Description: long non-coding RNA (GBAR_LNC015771)
Source: RNAcentral